CCUACGGGAGGCAGCAGUGGGGGAUAUUGCACAAUGGGGGAAACCCUGAUGCAGCGACGCCGCGUGGGUGAAGAAGCGCCUCGGCGCGUAAAGCCCUGUCAGCAGGGAAGAAAAUGACGGUACCUGAAGAAGAAGCCCCGGCUAACUACGUGCCAGCAGCCGCGGUAAUACGUAGGGGGCAAGCGUUAUCCUGCUUUACUGGGUGUAAAGGGGGCGCAGACGGCGAUGCAAGCCAGGAGUGAAAGCCCGGGGCCCAACCCCGGGACUGCGCUUGGAACUGCGUGGCUAGAGUGCAGGAGGGGCAGGCGGAAUGCCUGGUGUAGCGGUGAAAUGCGUAGAUAGCAGGAGGAACACCGGUGGCGAAGGCGGCCUGCUGGACUGCAACUGACGUUGAGGCCCGAAAGCGUGGGGAGCAAACAGGAUUAGAUACCCUAGUAGUC
Molecule: ribosomal RNA, 440 nt
Filed under: uncultured bacterium
Lineage: Bacteria
Description: partial 16S ribosomal RNA
Rfam family: Bacterial small subunit ribosomal RNA
Source: RNAcentral